This 493-nucleotide ribosomal RNA is filed under the name uncultured bacterium. Its description in RNAcentral is "bacterial SSU rRNA". It matches the Rfam family "Bacterial small subunit ribosomal RNA", at positions 28 to 507 of the family's 1533-position model. The record is from RNAcentral.
GAUGAACGCUAGCUACAGGCUUAACACAUGCAAGUCGAGGGGAAACGACAUUGGAAGCUUGCUUCCGAUAGGCGUCGACCGGCGCACGGGUGCGUAACGCGUAUCGAACCUACCCUUUACUCGGGAACAGCCUUGCGAAAGCAAGAUUAAUGCCCGAUGUUCCGCGUUUGCCGCAUGGCAAAUUCGGCAAAGAUUUAUUGGUAAAGGAUGGCGAUGCGUCCCAUUAGUUAGUUGGCGGGGUAACGGCCCACCAAGACGACGAUGGGUAGGGGUUCUGAGAGGAAGGUCCCCCCACAUUGGAACUGAGACACGGUCCAAACUCCUACGGGAGGCAGCAGUGAGGAAUAUUGGUCAAUGGGCGGAAGCCUGAACCAGCCAAGUAGCGUGCAGGAAGACAGCCCUAUGGGUUGUAAACUGCUUUCAGUCGGGAAUAAUUCGUCGGUCGUGACCGACGUUGCAGGUACCGUCAUAAGAAGGACCGGCUAAUUCCGUG